UCCGAGGCGGUGAGAAAAUAGCCCCGACCUGGGGACUGGCUGGAUACGAACAGAAUUUGGAGGAGCUCUCCAGCCUCAAAACGCUGUCUCCGGCCAGUCAAGAACAAGUGAUCUCCGUGUUUGAAACGCAUUGCACUGGACUGGGACCGACUCACUGGUUUUUGUGGACCUGCAAAGUCACGGAAUAGCGCGUAAAACGGCCUGUGUUAUUAUUUUAUAACUUUUUCCUGUUCGUUGGCCUUUCUUCUCCUUGGACGGACGUCAUAUUCGACCGCAGGUGUUCAAACGUAAUUCCAAACUGAAGUCCGAACAUUUAUUUCUGUGUAUAAAAAAAAAAAAGUGGUGAAAUUGGGACCUGUUGUCGUUAUUAUGGAUUAUGUCAAAGACCUUCAACAUGCAGCAGGGAGACGGCCUCAGUGACGCAUGUGGCAGGGUUGGCUGAACUGACCCCUCCCCAGCUGCUGGAGAGAGACGGGCAUGGCACCACCCCAGGAGGCAGAGGAAGAGGAUGGAAGAAGAAGAAGAGGGGUUGGUGAGGCCUGGUUGGAGAGCAGACCUGUGAGGGGAGGGGGAUGGGGAUGGAACUCCACUCCUCCAUGCCCUCCCUCCCUCUGGGACAGGAAGUGAUGGAGAUGAGCUCACUUCCCCUCUGGCGAUGACACCGUGGAGAGACUGGAGGAAUCGAUAGAGAGACGGGAGUCUGAUGGUGUGGGGGGGAGGGGGGUGGGGGGGGCACACAGGGCCCCCGGCCCGAAGCUGAACCCCCCCACCCUGUGUGCCUCCACACGUCCUGCGUUUGCUGCGUGUGCUGUUCCUGUUUCCUACGGAGCCUGAUUAAAGUGGCGUCCCCCCCCACACACACACACACACAGACACACACACACACGCUGGCCUCGCACUCCGAACAAAAUCUCCUUCCAUUUUCCCCCCUGAAAUAAGAGGUGUUUUUUAAUGCUGACCAUCGCCGCUGGGACUCUCCAGGCCUGAGGUGGCGCCAGUGAGCCUCAGCCUCUCCGGAAAGGACUAGAGUGUGCCGGUCUGUGGUGAAUCUGUCACCCAGACUGAGAUGCUCAUGAGAACAGAACCCGUGCUCUGAUUGGCCCGAUCCUGGAUGAGAACCUGUGUCGUCCAGCAGGACCCCUCUCUGGCGAUGGGGGAGUGUCCAGACCAGCUGUGACCGAAUUCACUAAAAUGGACUUCAUUUAAAACUUUUUCACACAGACUGAAUUUUCCCUGGGCCUGGCUUUUUCCCAGUGCCUUCACACGGAAUAACGCCCCAGGUCCACCACCAGAUCCUCUCACCACCAGAUCCUCUUUCCCCACCAGAUCUUUUUUCAGUGCACAACCAAUAUGCCAUUCGAAAAAGCGGAAGAAGUUUUUUUGCCCUUGAAAGCUGAAAAAACAAAACAAAACAAGGAACUCUGACCUGGUGACAUCAUAUUCCCUAGAGAGGAUUUGUCCAAUCGCAUUCUGGCGUUUGCACGCGCGGGAGUCGGUUCCUGCCUCACGAGCCUAACGAACCUGAAGAGCGUUGCUGUGGUUACGGGUUCAGGUGGUGUCUGUGGACGUGACCGGGACUGGCCAAUCGGGCGAGGCCGCGCCCCCUCAGCGAGUGAUGUCAUGAGCCCACCUGCACACCUCUCACCUCACUCUGGAUUCCGCAGUGAUGUCACAGUCCACAGCAUCGCCGUGGCAACACCCCGGCUCCCCGCAGACCAGGAAGUGUGGCUGGAGCACCUGGAGACUCUGGUAAGCAUGAAGACGUGGCUGUCCAAUAACUGACAUAUGAGCUGUCAAAGGUAUUUUCAGUCCAUGUUAUUACAAAUAUUUAGGCUGCAGUCCAAUCCAUUAUCUUCUCUAACUCGGUGUGUAAUUUUAGCAGUGCGGUCCAUAAGCGUCUGAUUAUACAGGGGCCAUGUUCACAGGGGCACAUAAUGUAAAACCCACAUUUAAAUGGUCCCUAGACUGGCCGGCCGGUGGUGAUAUAUAACCCAGAAGAUUAGCAGGCCAGCAGACAGUCUGCAUUAGCAUUGAAAUUGGCCUCCUUUAUUUUUAAGCUGGCAAAUUCAUGGUCAGACCUCAGUCGUCCCUAAGGGGUCCUUCGUGGCUGUGCUGAACAGGAAGUGGACCCAUUUGAAUAUUAAUAAGCUUUGAGUUGAUUCGUUAAUACAUUCGUAUUUUUAGAAUUUGUGUUGAUUUGUUGUAUUAUUAAAAACGUAAUCAAGUAUAUGCCAUUAAUCAAGGUGAGUAUUUGUUUUUCUCAUAUUGCUACAUAUGAAAUUGUGUAAUUUAGUUUUAAAUUGAUAGUGUUUUGUUGCUUUAUUGGGCGAAAGCAUGUGCAUUUUCAAUAAACUUUAAUAAAAUUAAA
This is a long non-coding RNA of Conger conger (European conger), 2368 nucleotides long. RefSeq lists it as uncharacterized. The transcript has 4 exons. Lineage: Eukaryota; Metazoa; Chordata; Actinopteri; Anguilliformes; Congridae. The record is from RefSeq and is a predicted model, not a curated record.